GCGGGAGUAACUAUGACUCUCUUAA
Molecule: non-coding RNA, 25 nt
Filed under: Arabidopsis thaliana (thale cress)
Lineage: Eukaryota; Viridiplantae; Streptophyta; Magnoliopsida; Brassicales; Brassicaceae
Also listed under: 6 other names
Source: RNAcentral